UACGUAGGUGGCAAGCGUUAUCCGGAAUUAUUGGGCGUAAAGCGCGCGCAGGCGGUUUCUUAAGUCUGAUGUGAAAGCCCACGGCUCAACCGUGGAGGGUCAUUGGAAACUGGGGAACUUGAGUGCAGAAGAGAAAAGCGGAAUUCCACGUGUAGCGGUGAAGUGCGUAGAGAUGUGGAGGAACACCAGUGGCGAAGGCGGCUUUUUGGUCUGUAACUGACGCUGAGGCGCGAAAGCGUGGGGAGCAAACAGG
Molecule: ribosomal RNA, 253 nt
Filed under: uncultured bacterium
Lineage: Bacteria
Description: partial 16S ribosomal RNA
Rfam family: Bacterial small subunit ribosomal RNA
Source: RNAcentral